GCCCUCGUAGUUAAAUGGAUUAUAACAGUCCCGUCCUAAGGGAUAGUUGGGGGUUCGAUUCCCUCCGAGGGCACCA
Molecule: transfer RNA, 76 nt
Filed under: Candidatus Yanofskybacteria bacterium RIFCSPHIGHO2_01_FULL_43_42
Lineage: Bacteria; Candidatus Yanofskyibacteriota
Also listed under: 2 other names
Description: tRNA-Arg
Rfam family: tRNA
About the family: Transfer RNA (tRNA) molecules are approximately 80 nucleotides in length. Their secondary structure includes four short double-helical elements and three loops (D, anti-codon, and T loops). Further hydrogen bonds mediate the characteristic L-shaped molecular structure. tRNAs have two regions of fundamental functional importance: the anti-codon, which is responsible for specific mRNA codon recognition, and the 3' end, to which the tRNAs corresponding amino acid is attached (by aminoacyl-tRNA synthetases). tRNAs cope with the degeneracy of the genetic code in two manners: having more than one tRNA (with a specific anti-codon) for a particular amino acid; and 'wobble' base-pairing, i.e. permitting non-standard base-pairing at the 3rd anti-codon position.
Source: RNAcentral